RNAcentral lists this ribosomal RNA (629 nucleotides) under uncultured fungus. RNAcentral describes it as "eukaryotic LSU rRNA". It matches the Rfam family "Eukaryotic large subunit ribosomal RNA", at positions 23 to 641 of the family's 3401-position model. Lineage: Eukaryota; Fungi. The record is from RNAcentral.
ACCCGCUGAACUUAAGCAUAUCAAUAAGCCGGAGGAAAAGAAACUAACAAGGAUUCCCUUAGUAACGGCGAGUGAACCGGGAAGAGCUCAAAUUUGUAAUCUGGCGUCCUUCGGGCGUCCGAGUUGUAAUCUAUAGAGGUGUUUUCCGCGCCGGACCACGUUUAAGUCUCCUGGAACGGAGUAUCAAAGAGGGUGACAAUCCCGUACUUGACGUGACGACCGGUGCUAUGUGAUACACUCUCAACGAGUCGAGUUGUUUGGGAAUGCAGCUCUAAAUGGGUGGUAAAUUCCAUCUAAGGCUAAAUAUUGGCGAGAGACCGAUAGCGAACAAGUACCGUGAGGGAAAGAUGAAAAGCACUUUGGAAAGAGAGUUAAACAGCACGUGAAAUUGUUAAAAGGGAAACGAUUGAAGUCAGUCGUGCACUUGGUAUUCAGCCGUCUCUGACGGUGUAUUUGCCUUGUGCGGGUCAACAUCAGUUCUGAUCGGCGGAAAAGGGCUGGAAGAAGGUGGCACCCUCGGGUGUGUUAUAGCUUCCUGUCGUAUACGUCGGUUGGGACUGAGGAAUGCAGCUUGCCGCAAGGCCGGGGUUCGCCCACGUUCAAGCUUAGGAUGUUGACAUAAUGGCUUU